GUGGGGAAUCUUCCGCAAUGGACGAAAGUCUGACGGAGCGACGCCGCGUGAGUGAAGAAGGCCUUCGGGUCGUAAAGCUCUGUCAUCAGGGACGAACGGCCGGUGGAGUGGAAAGCCACCGGAUUGACGGUACCUGAGAAGGAAGCCACGGCUAACUACGUGCCAGCAGCCGCGGUAAUACGUAGGUGGCAAGCGUUGUCCGGAAUUAUUGGGCGUAAAGCGCGCGCAGGUGGGAUCUUAAGUCCAUUUUUAAAGUUCGGAGCUCAACUCCGUGAUGGGACGGAAACUGGGAUUCUUGAGUACCGGAGAGGAAAGCGGAAUUCCCCGUGUAGCGGUGAAAUGCGUAGAUAUGGGGAGGAACACCAGUGGCGAAGGCGGCUUUCUGGACGGUGUCUGACACUGAGGCGCGAAAGCCAGGGGAGCGAACGGGAUUAGAUACCCGUGUAGUCC
This 450-nucleotide ribosomal RNA is filed under the name uncultured bacterium. Its description in RNAcentral is "partial 16S ribosomal RNA". It matches the Rfam family "Bacterial small subunit ribosomal RNA", at positions 354 to 796 of the family's 1533-position model. The record is from RNAcentral.